AAUGAACGCUGGCGGCAGGCCUAACACAUGCAAGUCGAGCGAAGUCUUCGGACUUAGCGGCGGACGGGUGAGUAACGCGUGGGAACAUGCCCUUUGGUGCGGAAUAGCCCCGGGAAACUGGGAGUAAUACCGCAUGUGCCCUUCGGGGGAAAGAUUUAUCGCCUAAGGAUUGGCCCGCGUUGGAUCAGGUAGUUGGUGGGGUAAUGGCCUACCAAGCGGACGAUCCAUAGCUGGUUUGAGAGGAUGAUCAGCCACACUGGGACUGAGACACGGCCCAGACUCCUACGGGAGGCAGCAGUGGGGAAUCUUAGACAAGGGGCGCAAGCCUGAUCUAGCCAUGCCGCGUGAUCGAUGAAGGCCUUAGGGUUGUAAAGAUCUUUCAGUGGGGAAGAUAAUGACGGUACCCACAGAAGAAGCCCCGGCUAACUCCGUG
This 433-nucleotide ribosomal RNA is filed under the name uncultured bacterium. Its description in RNAcentral is "partial 16S ribosomal RNA". It matches the Rfam family "Bacterial small subunit ribosomal RNA", at positions 29 to 507 of the family's 1533-position model. The record is from RNAcentral.